ACGGAGGCCUCAAGCGUUGUUCGGAAUUACUGGGCGUAAAGGGUGCGUAGGCGGCGAGGUAAGUCAGAUGUGAAAGCCCGGGGCUCAACCCCGGAAUUGCAUCCGAUACUGCCUUGCUUGAGGAUUGGAGAGGAGACUGGAAUUCACGGUGUAGCAGUGAAAUGCGUGGAUAUCGUGAGGAAGGCCAAUGGCGAAGGCAGGUCUCUGGACAAUUCCUGACGCUGAUGCACGAAGGCCAGGGGAGCAAAAAG
Molecule: ribosomal RNA, 251 nt
Filed under: uncultured prokaryote
Description: partial 16S rRNA
Rfam family: Bacterial small subunit ribosomal RNA
Source: RNAcentral